Molecule: long non-coding RNA, 4790 nt
Organism: Calidris pugnax (ruff)
Lineage: Eukaryota; Metazoa; Chordata; Aves; Charadriiformes; Scolopacidae
Exons: 2
Source: RefSeq, a predicted model, not a curated record
CAGGCUGAUCUAUCUCUCUUCUAUCUGUACAUUCUCAGGGGAGCAGAGCUGUGCGUUGAUUGCUAAUACAAUAUUCUGUUGUUUUUUUUUUUUCCAGCCUUGCUAUGACACAGUGAAAGUAUGGCUCCAGGAGAACUUACUAGCAGUGGGAAUCUUUGGAUUGUGCACAGCUAUGGUGCAGAUUCUCGGACUCACCUUUGCAAUGACCAUGUAUUGUCAGGUAGUCAAGGCAGACACCUACUGUGCAUAGAUACCAUUCCCGAUCUUUCUGCUCCUCCUCCAAAGGACACAGGAGAAAUCUCCUUCAUGUUCAUUCAUCUGACCUUUUUUUCUCCCCCCCUUUGUACUAUGAACUGUGUAUAAUGCUAUCUUUCUGAAGAUUUUGUGAGUCACCCCACUUUACUGAAGGAGGAAGAAAAUAAAAAGUCAGUACUUGAACUGGCACAGGUAAGAAGCAGCCUUGUCUUUAAACAGAAGAAAACCUCCAAAGAGCAAUGGUUCCUUGUCCACGGCCCAUGGCGAGGCAAAGGAAACGGCAUUGGAGGGGCUGAUCCGCAAACGGAUGUUAGGAAAGGAUUGCACGGAGGCAACCUCUGCACCAGCUGCCAGGUUACCUCCCCACGUGUCACCGUCUGGAAGAGAGGGCAUAGAAAAUGAAAAAAUGAGUAUUCUUCAGCGUGGAAAGAAGGUAGAGUAGCUAGCACUGAAUGCAAUUGUAAUUUUAUUACAGUUUGCACGCAGUUAAAAUGUCAAGAUCAAGCAGCCCUGCCUCCAAGUGUCUCAAGAUGAUUUUGUAGCCAGGAGAGGAUCAUGUUCAGAAAUAUAUUACUUUAAAGGAAUAUUAAAGGAGUCUUACAUGCUGCAAAGUCAGGCUUUUAAUCAGAAUCUGUACAGUGAGAUCUGGCUGUUAAGGGAAAACAACAUUGGACAUUGUCUUACUUAUUAAUUGCCAGUGGCAUAUAGAUGGUUGACUGUAUAUGUAAUAUAUAUUACAUUCAUAUACACAUGCUGUUCCAAAAGGUGAAAAUAGCCAGCAUCUAACCUCGGAAAGAGGGAACCUUACUAUCCCAUUUUACAUUCCAACUGAAAUAACUGAGAAACAAGUAAUUACUUUCAGCUGUAUGUUCAUUUCAGUAAACAACUUGUGAGUGGGCUCUCUCUGUCAUUCUACUACGGUUUUAUUUCUUAUCAUCCCUGUUUCAAGUUAGUCUGCCAAAAAGUAUCACUCACUUCCAUGCUUGAGGAUCCCUACAAAGCUGUCAGCUGUUCCUUCCCUGAAUGUCACCAUUUCAUUAAUUUACUUGGGGAUAUCAUCAUCUGCAGGUAUGAUAGAGUUUGCCUUCCUGAGGAAAAAUCGUUUGCACAUUGCUCAUUUUUUCUGAGAGUUAUUGAGAGUUCAGAUGUUUUUAUCCUAGGUUUUUUUGGUGUUUUGGUUUUUUUCAGUUGCAUGCUUACAACAGCCGAGACACAUCAGUCUUUGUUAGAACUGGAGUCACCUCUCAGUUCUGUUUUUCAGAUUCAUCUCCAUCUGCCUGGCUGUUGGCUAGAAUAUGCCCCACACUUUCUGAAUUUGCAGAAAUCAAAAUCAUAACUUUCCGUAGCCAGAAGACAGUCACCAGUUAUCCAAUUUCCCCACUCUGCAUUGGUAACUUAAGUAAUUUAUGUGGUAACCUUCUGUGCGCAGCUUCUAGCGAUGAGGUGAAGAUCAGAUGUCCAAACAAACAAUUCCCCAUCAGCAAGCAGCCCCAGAUAACGCACAGGUGACAGGGGAGAAGCUGAAGCACAGCAGGGAACAGGCAAACAGCAAUGCUGCUGGCCUGCUCCCUGCAGCCAGCCUUUGAGGACCUCUCAGCCACUGACAAUAGGCCAGAGAUGACCAUGGUGCCCUGUUUCCCCAGAAAGCUCAAUGCAGCCAUUCCUACUGCCAUAGACUAGAAGCAUGCAUCCAGUUCAGGCAAAAAAAGUUACCCUGUACCUUUGGUACUUACAACAGCGGGUCUCUGCUAUGAAUGACGUUGUGCUUACCUUGAUUUAAAGGCAAUGGCCAGCAGUAAAGCUGGACUUGCUGACUGACAGCUUAUUGAACAAUCUCCUUAACACCUGUAAAUAACCCUUUUCUGGACCUGCACCAUUGACAAAUACUGCUCUCACUGCUUGGGAUUUGGGUCUUUUUUUCUCUUUGCUGAUUUUCUGCAGUCCACUCACCCUCAGGCCCAAACUCACAGGGAAGUGCCUAGGAUGCUCUGGUGUAUGAAAGAGCAAGUAUCUAUCUUCCAAAAUCUUACCCUCUAUAAAGGUGCAUCUGUAAAGGAUGUAGCAUGGAGCACGUAGCUGUCCAGGCCAAGCUGAAAGCAACAUAUCACUUGUGUGCAUUUUAUGUGGCUUCCCAAGCACUCACUGUCACAGCAACCUCAGCACCACUACAGAUUUGACUGCCCUGCUAACAAGCCUUGACAAAUGUUAACACAUCUCAGCCCAAGACAGAGGUUAAACCAAGUGAGCAGCCCACACACAGGUGCCCCGUGCAAGAGACUUGCUCUCGGUGUUACAGUCACCACAGUCUCAACGGUCUCUGCUUCCUGAGCACAGCCUGACCUGUCAACAGUCCUGCUCUUGAAAGAUGGUCUAAAUUCCUUCUACUCUGUUCCUUUCUUACCUGCAUAGAGACAUGAUUCCAGGUUAGAUGUACCAUUAGUUGUUGCCGUGGUUUAUAGUUUGUAACACACAGGUGCUCCUGCUGACAGCUCAGAGUUCCCACCACUGAAAAGCAGCAUAACAGAGUGAUAAAUAUAUUAAUAAAACAUUGAUUUUUAAGAAGGAUAAAAGGUAAACACGUCUAUUUGUAGUGUUCCCUGCCAUUAAAAAUUAACACGGAUACAGCAGGCUGAUGAUGGCUGUUGAUAAGAGCAAACUAUUGUGCAAGAGAGCUCCCAUAGAGGGCAACUUUCAUCAAUUUGCCUCCUGGUGUAGGGAAGAGAGAUCACAAACCCUUGUCCUGAGUCUCCCAAUAACAUGUGCUGAGCGCUCAGAGAAGACUGCUAGACUUCAGCUAAGCCUACAGAAGAAACAAAAUCAGAAACAGAGACUGAAGAAAAGUCAAACUGUGGUUCCCUCUAAUUAUUUUCCGCAAUUUCAGUGUCUUUACAAGAUAAGCUGCUUCAGUUUUCAAAAACACAUAUGUACAGGGAGUGUAAGAAAUACUCAGGUUCUAAAUCCCAGUUACUGCAACAGAAACAUACGGCGCUAAUGGCUGAAAAGAAAGAAAUAAAAAAUGAAAAAGAAAAACCACACAAAACAGACCAUAAAUUGCUGCUAGUAAUUCUUUUUUUUAAACACUACUCUUACACUGCCAACUGCUACUACAACUUGUUUAUAAUUUGAACUGGACUAUUUUCUAUAUUUGAUGUUAUUAACUCUCUUCACCCAGGCCAAACAGAUGUUACGGUGCUUAAAGCAUUACCAGCACAAUCCAAUUUCAAACCUCUGAACAUACUGCAUAUAACAAGCCUCAGACUUAGCAUAUAUUCUUUUUAAAAAGCAUUGCAUAUUUUCUCUGCUGACGAGGUCAGAAUAUUUUAAAAACCAAUAUUAUCCAUAAAAGUUCAUGCUGAACUGGUUGAUUAUAAAUACCUUGUAGUGCAUAACACCCAUGUAAAAAGCUGCAGAGCAACACAGAAGUCAUUCCAAUUGCUUCCCAUUAGUGUUUUGUCACCUUUAGUAAAGUCUUCUGUAUUAUUUUCACUUCUUAUCUUUAAACAUAAAGGAGGACUUGAUACGUUUAAAUUAAAGACAGAACCAAAAGCAACAAAGACAUUGAAGGAUUUAGACUCAUUGCUCUUUCUGCUUAAUAAAAAGAUGUGAAGGCACAGGGCACACAGCUGGACAUACUGAUUACAGCAACAUCAGGAUUUAGCUUUUAGAUUCAGUCCAAUAUACUUCUGGCUUUUCAUCUUCACAAUUUUUAUAUAUAUAUAUAAAAAAUAGAAUAUGGUUUAUUUUCCUGUACAGUAACUGUCAGUAGCAGCCAAAUGUUAUUGCUUGUACAAUAGAUUUAUUUAGCUCCACAUCUUAUAGUGCACAAUCACUGAAAUUCACUUGUUUCUCCCCCACAAAUAAUAUAAACUUAUAAAGGUUUAUUCUGUCAUUUAAUAAUUGCCAUUUGAAUGCAGCACUGUAUGAUUUAUAAUAUGCAGAGGAAGGAACUGCACAGAAGCUGUAAAAAUAUUUUAUCUCGCAUCAGCAAUAUGGCUGCUGUGCAAACCCACCCAACCCCCUCAGAUCACAAACUAAUUAAGAACUGGCAACAUCCUUCAGUGCACAGUGGCUUCAGGCUGCCUCUUCCCCCACUCACAGAUAGACCCAGAGGCUGUUUGCAAGGAGAAAGGUAAAGCCAUUCACUCACCUCUCAGCUCCAUUGUUGUGCUAUAAAGAUGGCACCAAAGGUAAGCAACAAAAACCAGCAGUUGAUUGUGGCAUUUAUUUUAAAACCAGACUCCAUUACCUUUGUCUGCAAGGAUUCUUGCUGAGUGGGAAUGAUCUUCACAGAUACUGAGUCAGACAAUUCACAGUAAGAACACAAGUCAGGACUCCUCAUGGGAAAUUUUGUUUGGAUUCCAUUGUGAAUUCUCCUAGAUUUUCACUGGUAUCUUACCCCAGUGGGCAGGUCUCCUCAGUUCUUUGGAUUUUGUCGCUGCAACUACAGUGAUACAUUUUUGUGCAUUCAUAUAAAGAACAAAAUUUUAAAAAUACAUUUUAUUUUUUAAAAGUUAUUAAAUAUUCUUUAAAGUUUA